AUCACAUAAAUUUCUAUUCAAUCAUCAGUGAUCAUCUCAAUGCUGCAGUUGUGUGACUGGUCUUUUGACCUGUGGUGUCAUAGUUGCUCGUAGUAAGACUAUGGUAGUUUGACUACACAUAAGCAUUGAUUCAAUUAUGAGUCUUUAUAGUGGAUGUUGGCUGUAGUUGAUUGAAAUAUAAGAGUAAGAAGUGUAUCUAGAUAGGUUCUAUUGAUCUUGAGAGAGAAGAGUAGUCCUAUGAGAUUUGAGAAGCUGAGUCCAUAAGUUUAUGGCCAUAGCAAUGUGAUUGAUGAAAAAGAGUUUCUAUUUAGAAUCACUAUUAGACUUAAGC
RNAcentral lists this long non-coding RNA (331 nucleotides) under Elaeis guineensis (African oil palm). RNAcentral describes it as "long non-coding RNA (EGUI_LNC051314)". Lineage: Eukaryota; Viridiplantae; Streptophyta; Magnoliopsida; Arecales; Arecaceae. The record is from RNAcentral.